This 24-nucleotide transfer RNA is filed under the name Cristataria genezerethana. Its description in RNAcentral is "partial tRNA-Met". Lineage: Eukaryota; Metazoa; Mollusca; Gastropoda; Stylommatophora; Clausiliidae. The record is from RNAcentral.
AAAUGGUAAACCUUCCUCUUUAGA